UGAUUGAUGAUGGUAGCAGACACUAGGC
Molecule: non-coding RNA, 28 nt
Filed under: Rattus norvegicus (Norway rat)
Lineage: Eukaryota; Metazoa; Chordata; Mammalia; Rodentia; Muridae
Source: RNAcentral